RNAcentral lists this ribosomal RNA (497 nucleotides) under uncultured bacterium. RNAcentral describes it as "partial 16S ribosomal RNA". It matches the Rfam family "Bacterial small subunit ribosomal RNA", at positions 28 to 507 of the family's 1533-position model. The record is from RNAcentral.
GACGAACGCUGGCGGCGUGCCUAAUACAUGCAAGUAGUACGCUGAAGAGAGGAGCUUGCUCUUCUUGGAUGAGUUGCGAACGGUUGCGUAACGCGUAGGUAACCUGCCUUGUAGCGUGGGAUAACUAUUGGAAACGAUAGCUCAUACCUCAUAACAAUGGAUGACCCAUGUCAUUUAUUUGAAAGGGGCAAAUGCUCCACUACAAUAUGGACCUGCGUUGUAUUAGCUAGUAGGUGAGGUAACGGCUCACCUAGGCGACGAUACAUAGCCGACCUGAGAGGGGGAUGGGCGACACUGGGACUGAGACAACGGCCAGAAGCCGACGGGAGGCAGCAGUAGGGAAUCUCCGGCAAUGGGGGCAACGCUGACCGAGCAACGCCGCGUGAGUGAAGAAGGUUUUCGUAUCGUAAAGAUCUGUUGUAAGUCAAGAACGAGUGUGAGAGUGGAAAGUUAACAAUGUGACGGUAGCUUAACAGAAAGGGACGGCUAAAUACGUG